Gallus gallus (chicken) is the source of this 860-nucleotide long non-coding RNA. RefSeq lists it as uncharacterized. The record is from RefSeq and is a predicted model, not a curated record. The transcript has 5 exons. NCBI's taxonomy places the organism in Eukaryota, Metazoa, Chordata, Aves, Galliformes, Phasianidae.
UCUCCUGAAGAAGUUCCUGCUUCACGAGAAAAUGCCAGAGCCUUUUUGCUGGAAGAGCUGAAUAAUCCUUUGAUCUGGAUGAUGCAGGAGGAGAGAUAUAAAGGAAACAGCUUCUGCUUAAUUACAGGUUCCCCCCUCCACUGAACUACAAAUAUGCAACCUAAACUGUGGACUGUUCAGAGCAUCUGUAUUUUCUUUAAUCCUGAAGAAAAGACGCAGGCACAAAGAAUUUCCAUUUUGGAUGCACAAAAUAUUCUUCAAAUGUAGAACUGUAAGAAAGCUGCUAUUUGUACCUGUAGCUGUGGCUGUCACACAGUGCUUGAUAAAUGGAUGCAGAAAGAGAAGCUGCUAAAGAAUGAAGAGUGUACACCUAAAAUAAAAAGAGGGGGAGUCUCCCUGGAACAAGAAUAGUACUACUACAAUCUUACAAUGCAGCAGAAACACUCAAUUUCUUAAUCAGAGGAAGAAAUGCAAGGAUUUCUUGGAAAGACUGAUGGAGGCCAAAUUGUGUUGAAAAUGGUUAUUUAUUCUCUUCUACUGCUGUCUACUCAGCACAGACAAGAUUUCACAAAGAUAGGUGUUAGAAGUAAGACCUGGGACUGGAGCUACUUCAGUGAUUUAUUCUACGACUGUGUAUUUGCUCUGGUUAGUCACUAACAUUUACUGGAAAAUAUAUUUCUGUAUGAAACGAAUGUAGAAAAUGCCAUAAUAUAGUAAAAGGGAGCAGCACACUGACUAAGACUAUUUCUUACAGCUUCCUUGCAUGACAUGCAGUGACAUAGGGAAUGAGAUUUUAUCAUACUUAAUCUGAAUUUAAGUUGCUAUAUAGAUACCCAGAAUAUAGUGAUCAAAACUAUAAU